Branchiostoma floridae (Florida lancelet) is the source of this 774-nucleotide long non-coding RNA. RefSeq lists it as uncharacterized. NCBI's taxonomy places the organism in Eukaryota, Metazoa, Chordata, Leptocardii, Amphioxiformes, Branchiostomatidae. The transcript has 3 exons. The record is from RefSeq and is a predicted model, not a curated record.
UUUGUCACGUGACCCAGCUUUGGGCAGGUUCGUCUCAGACGACAAAACCGAGGAUCGGAUGACUUCUGUGUUCAUUUGUCCACUUCUCGAAAGCUCUCCAGCACCUCGCCUCCUUUCGUCCUCCCGGAUUACCUUUGUGUCGUGACCAGAGGAGGUUUUUCCAGUGGAGAAGUUGCGGGGAGUCGGGUUUGUGUUGCAGAAGGGUGCGGGGAGUGAGUGGGACACAGCAAACACCGUCUGGCUGGCGGUUGAAUUGAACAUAGGGGCGGCCAUUGUUCGGGCAGUGUAGACACGUUUUAGUUCUGAGAAACUCCACUUUUUGUCCGCGUCAUUAAUGCUCAGUCCUUACUUAUUGUGCAAACAAUCUUCAACAUGGACUUGGACAGCGACGGGCUGGAUUUACUGAGGAAAAUCGCCAGUGCUGACUGAGGUUGCACUCUUUGUUGACGGCACACGCGUAGAGUUGAGAUUGCGUACGUGGCGGGAACUGUGACUGGUGAGAACCGACGGGUCUCCAGCAUGUCGGACUCACCGCCCCCCUCCCCAGACCUGGAUGAGAUCGAGAGCAAGUGUGACAACUUACUGGCCAGGCUGAGCAUGGACACACAAAACACACAGAGCCCCUCUCAGGGAGAAGGUGCCGCCUCCCAGGAAGAUUUGGCCUUGCAAAUCAACCAGGUGGGUUUUCUCACGUGCCUGUUUUUAUAGCUCAUGCCCAUAUAAACACACAGGUAGCAGUAGCACUUAACACUUACGCCAUGUGCUUCGCAAAAC